This 352-nucleotide ribosomal RNA is filed under the name uncultured Racocetra. RNAcentral's name for it is "SSU rRNA". It matches the Rfam family "Eukaryotic small subunit ribosomal RNA", at positions 569 to 929 of the family's 1831-position model. The record is from RNAcentral. Lineage: Eukaryota; Fungi; Glomeromycota; Glomeromycetes; Diversisporales; Gigasporaceae.
AGCAGCCGCGGUAAUUCCAGCUCCAAUAGCGUAUAUUAAAGUUGUUGCAGUUAAAAAGCUCGUAGUUGAAUUUCGGGGUUCUACCGUUGGUCGGGCUUUGUCUGUACUGGCGUGUAGAAUUUCUACCUUCUGGGGAACCAUCAUGUUAUUAAUUUAACGUGGUGGGAAACCAGGACCUUUACCUUGAAAAAAUUAGAGUGUUCAAAGCAGGCUUAUGUCUGAAUACAUUAGCGUGAAAUAAUAAAAUAGGGCGGUGGUCCUGUUUUGUUGGUUUCUGAAUCACCGUAAUGAUUAAUAGGGAUAGUUGGGGGCAUUAGUAUUCAAUUGUCAGAGGUGAAAUUCUUGGAUUUAU